Molecule: ribosomal RNA, 172 nt
Filed under: uncultured bacterium
Lineage: Bacteria
Description: partial 16S ribosomal RNA
Rfam family: Bacterial small subunit ribosomal RNA
Source: RNAcentral
ACUCCUACGGGAGGCAGCAGGGGGGAAUAUUGGACAAUGGGCGAAAGCCUGAUCCAGCCAUGCCGCGUGAGUGAUGAAGGCCCUAGGGUUGUAAAGCUCUUUUACCAGGGAUGAUAAUGACAGUACCUGGAGAAUAAGCUCCGGCUAACUCCGUGCCAGCAGCCGCGGUAAU